GUUAAUAAAUUGUUCUUGUUGUUUUCCAGGAUGGCUGCACCCCACUUUUACUUGCCCUAAAGGAAAACAAACAUCAUAUGGCAGAAUUUUUAAUUAAGGCGAAAGCAAAUAUAUAUGCGGUUGACAUGAGAGGAAGGUAUAGUAAUUUAUUCUUUAAAAACACUCACUCAGGCCAAACAUUAAAUUAAUGGGAAGGAGAAUAUUAAUUUAUACAUAUUGCAUUAGAGUGAAAAAUAUGAACACAAACCAUGUUUUAGGUAGAAAUAGUUGAUUUUGUUGUUCACAUAUGUUAUGGUUUGGAUAUGAGGUAUUCCCCAAAAUUCACCUGUGAGACAAUGCAAGGAGGUUCAGAGGAGAAAUAAUUGAGUUGUGAGAGUCUUAACCCAAUCAGUGAAUUAAUCCCCUGACAGGGAUUAACUGAUUAAGGGAGUGGUAACUGAAGUGUGGUAGGGUGUGGCUGGAGGAGGUAGGAAUUGGGGGCAUGGCUUUAGGGUAUAUAUGUUUGUGUCUGGCAAGUGCAGACCUCUCUCUGCUUCCUGAUCACCAUGAUGUGAGCUGCUUCCCUCUGCCAUAAUCUCUUGCCAUGAUGCUCAGUUUCACCUUGAGCCCCUGGAAAUGGAGCUGUCUUCUAUGGACUAAGACCUAUGACACCAUGAGUACUUGAAUAAACAUUUUCUCUUCUACAGUUGUGCUGGUUUGGUCCUUUAGUCAUAGUUGUUAAAAAGCUGACUAAAUCAGCAUGAUCAUAUAUGACCAAAAGUUUUAAAUAAGUAUAGAUUUUGGCAUUUUUGCUUCAAUAAUGAAUUUCUUAACCUCUGUAUUGAAUUUUAACUUCCAUUUUUUAUGCUUUUCCUUAAAAUGGUAUAUUGAGCAUAAAUAGGCUUUGAUAAUCUUUCUUUUUCCUUUUGGAUGGCUCUAAAUUUGCUUUGUUUGAAGAAUAUUGAUAUUAACUUAUUCCUAAUUGAACAUUAAUUGCUGUUGCUAGAUGUUGUUCAUUUUCUAAUAUAUUUUGAUGCUAUUCUUCCCUUUUUUCAAGGUUUUUUAUUCUAAUUAGUUAUGCAUAGCAGUAGAAAGCUCUUCAAUUUAUUAUACACAAAUGGAGCAGAAUUUUCCACUUCUCUCAUUAUGCAUGGAAGUAGGAUCACACCAUUCGUGCAAUUGUGGAUGUAAUGAUGUCCAAAUCUUUCCACUGUCUUUCUUAUGCCUUUAUUCCCUCACUCCUCCCCUUUGCCCAAUCCAAGGUUCCUCCAGUCAUCCCAUGCUUCCCCUAUAUGGAUUAGCAUCCAUUUAUCAGAGAAAACAUUUGCCCCCACUUUUUUGAAAUUGGCUUAUUUUUUUAGCAUAAUUUUCUCCAACUCCAUCCAUUUACCUGUAAAAGUCAUAAUUUUAUUCUCUUUUAAUUGUAAUAUUAUGUUGUAUAUAUGUACCACAGUUUAUUCAUCCAUUCAUCUAUUGGAGGGCAUCUAAGUUGCUUCCACAGUUUAGCAAUUGUGAAUUGUGUUGCUAUAAACAUUGAAGUGGCUGUAUCACUGUUUUAAGUUUGCUGUUUGAAGUCUUUAGGUUAUAGACUGAGGAAUGGAAUAGCUGUGUCCAAACGUGGUUCCAUUCCAAGUUUUCUAAGGAAUGUCCAUACUGCUGUCCAGAUUGGUUGCACCAAUUUUCACUCCCACCAUCAAUGUAUGAGUGUGCCUUUCUUCCACAUCUUUGCCAACAAUUAUUGUUGCUUGUCUUCUUGAUAACUGCCAUUUCUGACUGGAGUGAGAUGAAAUCGUAGAUGAUUCACAUGCUUUUCUUUUUCUUAAAUACAUUUUUUUUUUAGUUGGAGAUGGGCACAAUAGCUUUAUUUUAUGCAUUUUUUUCCCUGUGGUGCUGAGGAUCGAACUCAGUGCCUCACAUGUGCUAGGCAAAUGCUCUACAACCCCAGCUCUGAUGCUUUUAUUUCUAAUUGGCAAGGGCUGAGGGAAGAAAAAAAGCUUUACUGGCACAAACAUUUCCUUUAAUGAAUAAAUAGGUGUGUGGUGAAGAGAAAGAAGAUAAGCUUUAAAUUCUCACAUGACUAUGUUGCAUUUCUAGCUUUCCUAGUUACAAAGUGUGACACUUUGGAAACAUUACUUAUCACUAAAUAUAUUUCCUGAUAUGAAAAAGAAUGAAACAUGUUUGAAGGGUUGUACUAAGAUGAUACAUAUAGCAUGAUUGUAAUCCUUAUCAAAUGCUUGUUUUCAUUGUUAUUAACUGAAGCAAUAAUGACGGAUUAUCACCAUUAUUAUUAUUAUAGAGGUUGUUUUAAGUCUGCUCACAGCCUUUGUUUGCUUGACUUUUAGCUGAUUAUGAGUUAUAAUAUAUCACAUCAGACUGGGGAAGAAAUGGAGCAUUCUUCAUUGAAAUCUCGUUUGCUUCAGAUAAAUAACCUCAUCUCAGUUAUUGUCCAUCAAGUGAUUUUAUGUUUAUAACUUGUAAUUCCCCAUUGGGACAAGAGGUUUCCUCUUUGUUUUUGUCCAUUUAGACUGAGAGGUGAUUUGCAGAGCUGAUCCCCCAAGAUGCUUAUGUCUGUUAAGAUAUGUAAAGGAAGAUACUAAAUUGAAAAGAUACAUAAAAUUAGCUCUUAAAGUACCUAAUAACAAAGUUGUUUCUCCAUUAUUUUAGAACAGCCCUCAUGCUUGCAGUGAGGUAUGAAUCACCAGAUAUAAUCAAGCUUCUUAUUGAAGGAGGUAUUGAUGUCUUUGCGGAAGAUGUGGAUGGAGGGACUGCAUUAUGUUAUUCUGUUGCUAGUGGCUGCAAUAUGUAAGUGUUUUAAUUAAAGUACUAAUCAACGUUAAGUGGAGGUUAAAAAUAAGCACAACUAUUGCAUCUUAUAUAUCAUUUAAGUGUUCAUAGUUCAAAUAUGUUAGGAAUGGCAGUUACUGAGUCCCUUCAUCAGCCAUUAACACUGCAAAAGUCUAGUCUAAUUAGCAAUAAUGAUUAGUGCAGGACAUAUUACAGAACUUUUUUUCUUUUUCUGCUGGUGUUAUGGUGUUGAGGAUUGAAUCCAGGUUCUCAAGCAUGACCUCUCCCACUGAGAUACACCUCCAGCCCAUAUCUCAGAACUUUAAAAUGUUUAUUCUUAUAGAUCUCAGCAUUAUCCACUUCAUUCCAAGUAUAAUGUCUCCUAUGGCAACUGUGAUUUUUCUUAUUAGGUAUUUGCAGUUUUAAAUGCUCAGUUUAGUAAAAAAUCUCCUUACUUUCCUCUGGGACCUAGUUUUUCCACUAUCG
Molecule: long non-coding RNA, 3249 nt
Filed under: Marmota monax (woodchuck)
Lineage: Eukaryota; Metazoa; Chordata; Mammalia; Rodentia; Sciuridae
Source: RNAcentral